GGAGGAAUAUUGGUCAAUGGGCGAGAGCCUGAACCAGCCAAGUAGCGUGCAGGAUGACGGCCCUAUGGGUUGUAAACUGCUUUUGUAAGGGAACAAAGUGCGGGACGCGUCCCGUUUUGCGUGUACCUUACGAAUAAGGACCGGCUAAUUCCGUGCCAGCAGCCGCGGUAAUACGGAAGGUCCGGGCGUUAUCCGGAUUUAUUGGGUUUAAAGGGAGCGUAGGCCGCCCCUUAAGCGUGUUGUGAAAUGCCGCGGCUCAACCGUGGCACUGCAGCGCGAACUGGGGGGCUUGAGUGCACGCAACGCAGGCGGAAUUCGUGGUGUAGCGGUGAAAUGCUUAGAUAUCACGAAGAACUCCGAUUGCGAAGGCAGCUUGCGGGAGUGCGACUGACGCUGAAGCUCGAAGGUGCGGGUAUCGAACAGGAUUAGAUACCCUGGUAGU
This 442-nucleotide ribosomal RNA is filed under the name uncultured Prevotella sp. RNAcentral's name for it is "bacterial SSU rRNA". It matches the Rfam family "Bacterial small subunit ribosomal RNA", at positions 355 to 794 of the family's 1533-position model. The record is from RNAcentral. Lineage: Bacteria; Pseudomonadati; Bacteroidota; Bacteroidia; Bacteroidales; Prevotellaceae.